Schizosaccharomyces pombe (fission yeast) is the source of this 367-nucleotide non-coding RNA. The record is from the annotation of a GenBank genome assembly. NCBI's taxonomy places the organism in Eukaryota, Fungi, Ascomycota, Schizosaccharomycetes, Schizosaccharomycetales, Schizosaccharomycetaceae.
UUCAGUAGCAACUUUGUUGUUUUCGAUCGCACUAGCAAUCAUAGAAUCAACUAUGUCAAGAUUAAUGCGCAUCUCAAACUGCCUGGCAACCUCUAAUAUAUCUACGCGACUCUUUAACAGUUGACUAGCACCCGUAGAAGUUGGAGAGCAAACUACCCCGUCUUUAGAAGAGGUCGACGCAGGAGGUGAAACAGCUGCAGUAAUGUUACCAGGCUCAUAAUUCGAAGAAGGUUUAGCAAGCAUAACCUGAACAGGACCGUGAUUUUCGAAAACUGGACGAUUAUGCAAUGCGUCUCGUGCUACUAUCGCAGAACUCAAAGAUUCGUAGCUCACAAUAGCCGAAUUGUCCGGUGAAAGCAUCCAAAUA